UGCCUCGCCCUGCUUCGGCUCGCGCACGGUGCACGCACCCACUGACCUGCGCCCACUGUGUGGCACUCCCUAGUGAGAUGAACCCGGUACCUCAGAUGGAAAUGCAGAAAUCACCCGUCUUCUGCGUGGCUCACGCUGGGAGCUGUAGACCGGAGCUGUUCCUAUUCGGCCAUCUUGGCUCCUGGAUCUCUGUGUCAACCUUCUUUUAUUUUUAAAAGAUAUUCACUGUCUCUUACUAAAGCUUCCUGUUCAAAGUCUGGCUGAGAAUUUUUGCUGCUUCUUUCCCUACCUCCUCAUUUCCGAAGAACUAAGGUUAAACCAUGACCACUCCUCGAGGCCUUCCCUGGAGAUUCGGGCUCAUAGAUUCCUUCUUUCUCUGAAUUCUAAAGUACUUAUGGAAGAUUCAGCAGAUAAUUUUUAAUGAAUUAAAUUUUAAUACAUCAAAUUACUUAAUAAUAAAAUUUAAUAAAA
RNAcentral lists this long non-coding RNA (471 nucleotides) under Homo sapiens (human). Its description in RNAcentral is "non-protein coding G2E3-AS1:13". The record is from RNAcentral. Lineage: Eukaryota; Metazoa; Chordata; Mammalia; Primates; Hominidae.